Molecule: ribosomal RNA, 610 nt
Filed under: uncultured bacterium
Lineage: Bacteria
Description: bacterial SSU rRNA
Rfam family: Bacterial small subunit ribosomal RNA (bases 1-521)
Source: RNAcentral
CCUACGGGAGGCAGCAGUGGGGAAUAUUGCGCAAUGGGCGGAAGCCUGACGCAGCGACGCCGCGUGAGGGAUGACGGCCUUCGGGUUGUAAACCUCUUUCAGCAGGGACGAAGCGAAAGUGACGGUACCUGCGGAAGAAGCACCGGCCAACUACGUGCCAGCAGCCGCGGUAAUACGUAGGGUGCAAGCGUUGUCCGGAAUUAUUGGGCGUAAAGAGCUCGUAGGCGGUUUGUCGCGUCGGCUGUGAAAGCCCGGAGCUCAACUCCGGGUCUGCAGUCGAUACGGGCAGACUUGAGUGUUGCAGGGGAGACUGGAAUUCCUGGUGUAGCGGUGAAAUGCGCAGAUAUCAGGAGGAACACCGGUGGCGAAGGCGGGUCUCUGGGCAACAACUGACGCUGAGGAGCGAAAGCGUGGGGAGCGAACAGGAUUAGAUACCCUGGUAGUCCACGCCGUAAACGUUGGGCGCUAGGUGUGGGGCCAUUCCACGGUCUCCGUGCCGCNGCUACGACAUAGCGCCCGCCGUCGGAGGACGGCCGCGACGGACGUAAACGUUAAACGGUAAGUUAGACGGCGUGAGACGUACGACCGACGGACGACGACGAGGGAGGUA